GCCCCUCUACCCAUUAUUAGGCUUGGCUUGUACCAAUUGCUAAAUACCGCCAAAAUCUUCCCAGGUUGCUAGGGAGAUAAGCAUGAAGGUCUUAAUAAAGUAAUUAAUGGGUAAAAUUGUGCAAAAAUGAUACCAUAAUCCAGUGAGGAAUGUUGAGAACUGAUUAUAUCUGACGAUAUCUGCAUAGCUCAUAAUGAAUUGGCUGAUAAAUUUGCUAAAUUGGAGGAGGAAAAUGCUAAAUGCAUAAUGCUAAAUUAGGAAUAAAAUUGCAGACCUGGAGGAUAGGUCACGCAGGAGUAAUGCACGAUUUAGAGGUGUGCAUGAUUCAAUAUCAGCAGAUAAAAUUGUGGAGUACAUUACUUCCUUCUGUACUACCCUGGUCCCGGCCAUGGAUAAGAGUAUAUGGGGGAUAGAGAGAGCCCAUAGACUACAAAGACCAUCAAGAAUCACCGGACUGGCUACUUUAAAAGAUUGGAGACUAGAUAAUAUAGAGGAAUCUACGUCUAUGCAAGAUGUUCUCCCUCAUCAUCUUCCUGCAGCCGGAAUGGAAGAUGGCAGGAAGACCUUCAGGAAAACCUUAAGUACCCUGAAAUAUAUCUUAAAGUUUUUUUCUUUUU
Molecule: non-coding RNA, 617 nt
Organism: Pelobates cultripes (western spadefoot toad)
Lineage: Eukaryota; Metazoa; Chordata; Amphibia; Anura; Pelobatidae
Source: the annotation of a GenBank genome assembly